GAGAUGGAGUCUCCCUCUGUCACCAGGCUGGAGUGCAGUGGCGUGAUCUCGGCUCACUGCAACCUCCACCUCCCUGGUUCAAGCGAUUCUCCAGCCUCAGCCUCCUGAGUAGCUGGGACUGCAGGCGUGCACUACCACGCCCAGCUAAUUUUUGCAGUUUUUCAGUAGAGACGGGGUUUCACCAUGUUGGCCAGGAUGGUCUCGAACUCUCAACCUCAUAAUCCGCCUGCCUUGGUCUCCCAAAGUGCUGGGAUUACAGGCGUGAGCCACCGCACCUGGCCCAGAUUUUUAUAUAACUGAUUGGCACUCAAUAUUACUUGCUGACAGUUUCUUCUCCCUUCCUAAUAUGAGCAUUGUAUAUAACUGGAAUUAAUAUUCAUUCUCAAAGCAUAUAUGCUACAAAUGGCAAGAAAUUACAAACUUGUAAAUAGCCACCUAUCUCAAGAAGCUGUUAACUUGUGGCAAGUAGAAAAAUUAGCCCUGCUUCAUUUGGGUUUAAUUCAUUUAGUCAGCACAUGUUCAUCAAGCACCUACUAUGUGUAGGCAAGCAUUGUGAGAGACACUGGCAAUACAGCAAUAAAUAAGACAUGAAAAGUCUCUGUCUUCUAGAGAUUACAGACUAGUAGGAGAGACAGGUAAUAAAGAAGUUUUACAUUUGCAUAUAUUGUUUGCACUUCUCUAAAGAGAAUGGUUACCCAUAGUUAUGAACAUCCAAAUUUCUCUUUUCUUUUUUUGAGAUGGAGUCUUGCUCUGUCACACAGGCUGGAGUGCAGUGGCGCGAUCUCAGCUCACUGCAAGCUCUGCCUCCCGGGCUCACACCAUUCUCUUGCCUCAGCAUCCCGAGUAGCUAGGAUUACAGGCACCCGCCACCAUGCCCGGCUAAUUUUUUGUAUUUUUAGUAGAGACGGGGUUUCACCGUGUUAGCCAGGAUGGUCUCGAUCUCCUGACCUCGUGAUCCAUCUGCCUUGGCCUCCCAAAGUGCUGAGGUGGGUGCAUUGCUUGAGCCCAGAAGUUUGAGACCAGCCUGGGCAACAUGGUGAAAUCCCAUCUCUACAAAAAAUACAAAAAUUAGCUGGGCAUGGUGGUGUAGGCCCAUAGUCCCAGCUACUUGGGAGGCUGAGGUGGAAGGAUCACCUGAGUCCAGGGUGGUUGAGGCUGCAGUGAGCUGUGUGUGACUGCGUCACUGCGCUCCAGCCUGGGUGACAGAGCAAGACCCUGUCUUAAGAAAAAAGAAAAAAGAAAUAUUCUUUAUACUAGUGAAAACCUUAUUAUACUCAAAUGAGAUAAAUGAGGCUACUAAGUGCUGACUAGAAAAAAAUAUAGGACAAGUAAAGAUUUACCAGAAGGUGUGGCAUCCAAAACUUCAGCAUCUUCACUUUUCUCGUUCCCUUCUGAUUUUUCAGAUUGCACAUCCAAAGAUAACAUCAAACUUGGGUUUGGUGCAAAGAUGGCUGAUGUAACAACUGCAUUGUGGGCUGUGGAAAAAAUUUACUUCAGGAUAACUGACAAAUUGGAUACCAAGACAAACACGAUAGUGUAUGUUUUUAUUGUCACUUCAGUUAUUUUCACAUUGAUAACACUGGUGAAUUUUAACUCACAUAGAUCUCUAAUUGUCAUUUAAAAUGUCUUCAAAAAGAUUACCCUAUAAUGCAGCAUGGAAAUGAAAAGUUAUUGUGCACCUGUCACACUCUAGGCAAGAAAAUUAGAGAAUAGAAAUUGUCAAAUCUUUCAGAAUAGAUCACAGAAUGUUCAAGGCUAGAAGAUGGUAGUGUAACUGACUUAGGCACCGUGAUGGCCCCAUCGCCCAGGAAACAAACAUCUAUCUGUCAAAAGCUUUCAGCUGGCAGAAGCUCAUUAAUUCCUCAACAUAAUCUAUUUAAGGAGGAGAACUAUGAGUUAUACUGAAUGAGAAAACUCAAAUGAUACCUCUGUAUUCUUUGGUGUGCCUAAAGGUGCUAAACAAAUCAAGGCAAUGGUGACAUUGAUCGCAUACUUACGAUGUGUUAAGCAUUGUUCUUCGCAUUAUAUAGCAACACUAUGAAGUAGGUACAUUGUGGUAUACCUGUUUUCAAAUAGAUGGUAUACUUUAUGAUUAAAAGUAAAGAAUUAAAAAACAGAAUUUGGAAAUUUACAAUAAUCUUUGAAAUAUCUAACAAUCAUUUUUAUUUUCAAGAUCCACUCAGUUCCAGAAAAGUUUUUAAGAGUAUAUGCAGUUUGCAUUAUAAUUUCCUGUUGAUUAAUACCAACUGUAUAAAAACUUAACCUAUGGCACACCAUGAACCUAUGUUCAUUAAAACUGACUUUAUUUGGCUGGACACAGUGGCCCAUGCCUGUAAUCCCAGCACUUUGGGAGGCUGAGGCAGGUGGAUCAUUUGAGGUCAGGAGUUCGAGAUCAGUCUGGCCACCAUGGUGAAACCCCAUCUCCACUAAAAAUAAAAAAAAAAAUUAGCUGGGCGUGGUGGCCCACGCCUGUAAUUCCAGCUACUCGGGGAGGCUGAGGCAGGAGAAUCGCUUGAACCUGGGAGAUGGAGGUUGCAGUGAGCUGAGAUCGUGCCACUGCACUCCAGCCUUGGCAACAG
Molecule: long non-coding RNA, 2579 nt
Filed under: Homo sapiens (human)
Lineage: Eukaryota; Metazoa; Chordata; Mammalia; Primates; Hominidae
Description: non-protein coding lnc-KLHL13-1:1
Source: RNAcentral